RNAcentral lists this ribosomal RNA (211 nucleotides) under uncultured bacterium. RNAcentral's name for it is "partial 16S ribosomal RNA". It matches the Rfam family "Bacterial small subunit ribosomal RNA", at positions 1282 to 1500 of the family's 1533-position model. The record is from RNAcentral.
CCUGUCUCAGUUCGGAUUGGAGGCUGAAACCCGCCUCCAUGAAGUUGGAUUCGCUAGUAAUCGCGCAUCAGCCAUGGCGCGGUGAAUACGUUCCCGGGCCUUGUACACACCGCCCGUCAAGCCAUGGAAGCCGGGGGUGCCUGAAGUGCGCUGCCGCAAGGAGCGCCCUAGGGUAAAACCGGUGACUGGGGCUAAGUCGUAACAAGGUAGC